RNAcentral lists this ribosomal RNA (256 nucleotides) under uncultured bacterium. RNAcentral describes it as "partial 16S ribosomal RNA". It matches the Rfam family "Bacterial small subunit ribosomal RNA", at positions 15 to 248 of the family's 1533-position model. The record is from RNAcentral.
GAUCAUGGCUCAGGAUGAACGCUAGCUACAGGCUUAACACAUGCAAGUCGAGGGGCAGCAUGGACUCAGCUUCGCUGGGUUUGAUGGCGACCGGCGCACGGGUGAGUAACGCGUAUCCAACCUGCCCUUUACUCCGGGAUAGUCUCCUGAAAGGAGUUAAUUAACCGGACGUGUGUUUGUUCUUUCCGUCAUGGGAGGCGACAAAUAAAAGAAUUGUAUUGGUUAAAGGGAAUGGGGAGUGCGUCCCACUUAGUCG